GUUCUUGUGACACUUGUUUUCAUACCUCUAGGGUACUAGGAGGCUAGAGGACACCUUCGUCGGAGCAAACGAAGGGUUUUGUUUACCGUUGGUGGGUUUGACUUCAUGAAAAUGGGGCGAAAUGGCCCCUAUGCUUUCUAAACUCUUCGUAAAGUAUUUUUAAAUGCAUUUCUAUGCUAAUUGGAAUUUAUGCGAAUUUUAGAACACCUAAAAUGCAUGCCUUAUGUGUAAGUUAAAUUUCACUCUAUAUAGU
RNAcentral lists this long non-coding RNA (253 nucleotides) under Ananas comosus (pineapple). RNAcentral's name for it is "long non-coding RNA (ACOM_LNC035511)". The record is from RNAcentral. Lineage: Eukaryota; Viridiplantae; Streptophyta; Magnoliopsida; Poales; Bromeliaceae.